This 544-nucleotide ribosomal RNA is filed under the name Escherichia coli. Its description in RNAcentral is "partial 23S ribosomal RNA". It matches the Rfam family "Bacterial large subunit ribosomal RNA", at positions 166 to 752 of the family's 2925-position model. Lineage: Bacteria; Pseudomonadati; Pseudomonadota; Gammaproteobacteria; Enterobacterales; Enterobacteriaceae. The record is from RNAcentral.
AUAGGUUAAUGAGGCGAACCGGGGGAACUGAAACAUCUAAGUACCCCGAGGAAAAGAAAUCAACCGAGAUUCCCCCAGUAGCGGCGAGCGAACGGGGAGGAGCCCAGAGCCUGAAUCAGUGUGUGUGUUAGUGGAAGCGUCUGGAAAGGCGUGCGAUACAGGGUGACAGCCCCGUACACAAAAAUGCACAUAUUGUGAGCUCGAUGAGUAGGGCGGGACACGUGGUAUCCUGUCUGAAUAUGGGGGGACCAUCCUCCAAGGCUAAAUACUCCUGACUGACCGAUAGUGAACCAGUACCGUGAGGGAAAGGCGAAAAGAACCCCGGCGAGGGGAGUGAAAAAGAACCUGAAACCGUGUACGUACAAGCAGUGGGAGCCUCUUAAUGGGGUGACUGCGUACCUUUUGUAUAAUGGGUCAGCGACUUAUAUUCUGUAGCAAGGUUAACCGAAUAGGGGAGCCGAAGGGAAACCGAGUCUUAACUGGGCGUUAAGUUGCAGGGUAUAGACCCGAAACCCGGUGAUCUAGCCAUGGGCAGGUUGAAGGU